Molecule: ribosomal RNA, 483 nt
Filed under: uncultured bacterium
Lineage: Bacteria
Description: partial 16S ribosomal RNA
Rfam family: Bacterial small subunit ribosomal RNA
Source: RNAcentral
UGGGGAAUAUUGCACAAUGGGCGCAAGCCUGAUGCAGCCAUGCCGCGUGUGUGAAGAAGGCCUUCGGGUUGUAAAGCACUUUCAGCGAGGAGGAAGGUGGUGAGCUUAAUACGCUCAUCAAUUGACGUUACUCGCAGAAGAAGCACCGGCUAACUCCGUGCCAGCAGCCGCGGUAAUACGGAGGGUGCAAGCGUUAAUCGGAAUUACUGGGCGUAAAGCGCACGCAGGCGGUUUGCUAAGUCAGAUGUGAAAUCCCCGGGCUCAACCUGGGAACUGCAUUUGAAACUGGCAAGCUAGAGUCUCGUAGAGGGGGGUAGAAUUCCAGGUGUAGCGGUGAAAUGCGUAGAGAUCUGGAGGAAUACCGGUGGCGAAGGCGGCCCCCCUGGACGAAGACUGACGCUCAGGUGCGAAAGCGUGGGGCAGCAAACAGGAUUAGAUACCCUGGUAGUCCACGCUGUAAACGAUGUCGAUUUGGAGGUUGUG